GACGAACGCUGGCGGCGUGCUUAACACAUGCAAGUCGAACGGAAAGGCCCUGCUUUUGUGGGGUGCUCGAGUGGCGAACGGGUGAGUAACACGUGAGUAACCUGCCCUUGACUUUGGGAUAACUUCAGGAAACUGGGGCUAAUACCGGAUAGGAGCUCCUGCUGCAUGGGGGGGGUGGGAAAGUUUCGGCGGUUGGGGAUGGACUCGCGGCUAAUCAGCUGUUUGGUGGGGUAGUGGCUUACCAAGGCUUGGACGGGUAGCCGGCCUGAGAGGGUGACCGGCCACAUUGGGACUGAGAUACGGCCCAGACUCCUACGGGAGGCAGCAGUGGGGAAUAUUGCACAAUGGGCGGAAGCCUGAUGCAGCAACGCCGCGUGCGGGAUGACGGCCUUCGGGUUGUAAACCGCUUUCGCCUGUGACGAAGCGUGAGUGACGGUAAUGGGUAAAGAAGCACCGGCUAACUACGUG
Molecule: ribosomal RNA, 468 nt
Filed under: uncultured bacterium
Lineage: Bacteria
Description: partial 16S ribosomal RNA
Rfam family: Bacterial small subunit ribosomal RNA
Source: RNAcentral